AUGACCAAAAAUAACUUGCUCAAAAGGGGAAUUGAAAACCCCCCGGAAUGUGUUUUCUGUCUAGAGCAAGAAACGGUUGAUCAUUUGUUUUUUGAUUGUGUGGUUGCCAAGAAAAUAUGGAGUGAUAUUUCAAAAUUCUUCUCUAUUGAUUUAGGUGCAAACUAUCUAUCCAUUGCCAGAUUUUGGCCAGCUAACAAAAUACAUACAACGAUGAAUGCUUUUGUGGCUUGUGUCUUGUGGAGCAUAUGGAAAAUUAGAAAUAACCAUGUGUUUAACAACGCUGUCUGGUCUGACUUGAAACAGAUAUGGUGACUAGUCUGGAGAACACUCAAAAGAUGGCUGAUCCUGUACAAAGGGGAGACGCUGGAGAAGCUUCAGCAAAUCUCACUCUGGGUAUCCAGCAUUCUUGCAGCCCCUUUUCAGUUGACAGUGGGGUGA
RNAcentral lists this ribosomal RNA (438 nucleotides) under Triticum aestivum (bread wheat). RNAcentral describes it as "partial small subunit ribosomal RNA". Lineage: Eukaryota; Viridiplantae; Streptophyta; Magnoliopsida; Poales; Poaceae. The record is from RNAcentral.